GACGAACGCUGGCGGCGUGCUUAACACAUGCAAGUCGAACGGUGAAGCUCCAGCUUGCUGGAGUGGAUCAGUGGCGAACGGGUGAGUAACACGUGAGCAACCUGCCCCUGACUCUGGAAUAAGCGCUGGAAACGGCGUCUAAUACUGGAUACGAGAAGGGUCCGCAUGGGCACUUUCUGGAAAGUUUGUCGGUUGGGGAUGGGCUCGCGGCCUAUCAGCUUGUUGGUGAGGUAAUGGCUCACCAAGGCGACGACGGGUAGCCGGCCUGAGAGGGCGACCGGCCACACUGGGACUGAGACACGGCCCAGACUCCUACGGGAGGCAGCAGUGGGGAAUAUUGCACAAUGGGCGGAAGCCUGAUGCAGCGACGCCGCGUGAGGGAUGACGGCCUUCGGGUUGUAAACCUCUUUCAGCAGGGAAGAAGCGAAAGUGACGGUACCUGCAGAAGAAGCACCGGCUAACUACGUG
Molecule: ribosomal RNA, 468 nt
Filed under: uncultured bacterium
Lineage: Bacteria
Description: partial 16S ribosomal RNA
Rfam family: Bacterial small subunit ribosomal RNA
Source: RNAcentral